GCGGAUGUGGCGGAAUUGGCAGACGCGCCAGAUUUAGGUUCUGGUUCCGAGAGGAGUGUAGGUUCAAGUCCUAUCAUCCGCA
RNAcentral lists this transfer RNA (82 nucleotides) under Planktothrix sp. FACHB-1355. Its description in RNAcentral is "tRNA-Leu". It matches the Rfam family "tRNA". Rfam says of the family: Transfer RNA (tRNA) molecules are approximately 80 nucleotides in length. Their secondary structure includes four short double-helical elements and three loops (D, anti-codon, and T loops). Further hydrogen bonds mediate the characteristic L-shaped molecular structure. tRNAs have two regions of fundamental functional importance: the anti-codon, which is responsible for specific mRNA codon recognition, and the 3' end, to which the tRNAs corresponding amino acid is attached (by aminoacyl-tRNA synthetases). tRNAs cope with the degeneracy of the genetic code in two manners: having more than one tRNA (with a specific anti-codon) for a particular amino acid; and 'wobble' base-pairing, i.e. permitting non-standard base-pairing at the 3rd anti-codon position. RNAcentral also lists the same sequence under 1 other name. The record is from RNAcentral. Lineage: Bacteria; Bacillati; Cyanobacteriota; Cyanophyceae; Oscillatoriales; Microcoleaceae.